Molecule: ribosomal RNA, 497 nt
Filed under: uncultured bacterium
Lineage: Bacteria
Description: partial 16S ribosomal RNA
Rfam family: Bacterial small subunit ribosomal RNA
Source: RNAcentral
GACGAACGCUGGCGGCGUGCCUAAUACAUGCAAGUAGAACGCUGAAGAGAGGAGCUUACUCUUCUUGGAUGAGUUGCGAACGGGUGAGUAACGCGUAGGUAACCUGCCUUGUAGCGGGGGAUAACUAUUGGAAACGAUAGCUAAUACCGCAUAACAAUGGAUGACACAUGUCAUUUAUUUGAAAGGGGCAAUUGCCCCACUACAAGAUGGACCUGCGUUGUAUUAGCUAGUAGGUGAGGUAAUGGCUCACCUAGGCGACGAUACAUAGCCGACCUGAGAGGGUGAUCGGCCACACUGGGACUGAGACACGGCCCAGACUCCUACGGGAGGCAGCAGUAGGGAAUCUUCGGCAAUGGGGGCAACCCUGACCGAGCAACGCCGCGUGAGUGAAGAAGGUUGUCGGAUCGUAAAGCUCUGUUGUAAGUCAAGAACGGGUGUGAGAGUGGAAAGUUCACACUGUGACGGUAGCUGACCAGAAAGGGACGGCUAACUACGUG